Long non-coding RNA from Brassica oleracea var. oleracea, 570 nucleotides. RefSeq lists it as uncharacterized. The transcript has 4 exons. The record is from RefSeq and is a predicted model, not a curated record. NCBI's taxonomy places the organism in Eukaryota, Viridiplantae, Streptophyta, Magnoliopsida, Brassicales, Brassicaceae.
AUCGCAACAGGGAGAUCAGAGAAGAACACGUACCAGCGGUAGAUUAGAUUCGGCGGAUAGGAUGACGAUUUAACGAGAGCUCGGUGUCGAUUUUUUCUUGCGAGAUUGCGAGAUUGCGAGAUUGAGAGAGAGAGAGGAGACGAGAAGAAUGAAGUCGAGAAUGCUCGAUACGUUUCCUCUACCUCUACCCCUUCGGUCUUCCUAUCAUCUCUUGACACUUGCUACCCAAGGACGCUGCUCUUCCAAGGUGUACUAGACAAUGGAGAUGUGGAAGUACUACAAGCUACUGGGAUCCGUACCUUCAAGGGCCUGAAGAUGCAUCUCAUGAAUAACCCAGGCGGAAUCAAUGGUCUGUCACAUGCCAAAGUUGACAAAAUCUGUGAAGAAGCUGAUAACAUAGUGGCUCUGCACAAGGCUGAAGCAAACAUGACCAAAACAGCUCAUAUCAUUGGCCAAAAAGAGUUUUUGCAGACUUAUCUGAAGAACAAAAAGCUACCUUGAUAAAAAUUGUUCAGUUUACAAAUGAAAUAAUCAGAGACUAACAACAUUCUCUUCCUUUUUUUUUUUUUU